RNAcentral lists this ribosomal RNA (254 nucleotides) under uncultured bacterium. Its description in RNAcentral is "partial 16S ribosomal RNA". It matches the Rfam family "Bacterial small subunit ribosomal RNA", at positions 524 to 776 of the family's 1533-position model. The record is from RNAcentral.
UACGAAGGGGGCAAGCGUUGUUCGGAGUUACUGGGCGUAAAUGGCGCGUCGGCGGUUUUGCAAGUCAGGCGUGAAAGCCCCGGGCUUAACCCGGGAAUAGCGCUUGGGACUGCAAGGCUUAGAGGGUGGAAGAGGUGAGUGGAAUUCCCAGUGUAGAGGUGAAAUUCGUAGAUAUUGGGAAGAACACCGGUGGCGAAGGCGGCUCACUGGUCCACAUCUGACGCUGAGGUGCGAAAGCGUGGGGAGCAAACAGG